AUCCUGGCUCAGGACGAACGCUGGCGGCGUGCUUAACACAUGCAAGUCGAGCGGAAAGGCCCUUCGGGGUACUCGAGCGGCGAACGGGUGAGUAACACGUGGGCAACCUGCCCUCAGCUCUGGGAUAACUCCGGGAAACCGGGGCUAAUACCGGAUAUGACCAUUCCUGGCAUCUGGGGUGGUGGAAAGUUCUUCGGCUGAGGAUGGGCCCGCGGCCUAUCAGCUUGUUGGUGGGGUAAUGGCCCACCAAGGCGACGACGGGUAGCCGGCCUGAGAGGGCGACCGGCCACACUGGGACUGAGACACGGCCCAGACUCCUACGGGAGGCAGCAGUGGGGAAUAUUGCGCAAUGGGCGGAAGCCUGACGCAGCGACGCCGCGUGAGGGAUGAAGGCCUUCGGGUUGUAAACCUCUUUCAGCAGGGACGAAGCGCAAGUGACGGUACCUGCAGAAGAAGCACCGGCCAACUACGUGCCAGCAGCCGCGGUAAUACGUAGGGUGCAAGCGUUGUCCGGAAUUAUUGGGCGUAAAGAGCUCGUAGGCGGUCUGUCGCGUCGGCUGUGAAAAACUCGGGGCUCAACC
Molecule: ribosomal RNA, 581 nt
Filed under: uncultured Actinomycetes bacterium
Lineage: Bacteria; Bacillati; Actinomycetota; Actinomycetes
Description: bacterial SSU rRNA
Rfam family: Bacterial small subunit ribosomal RNA
Source: RNAcentral